Molecule: long non-coding RNA, 5400 nt
Organism: Sorghum bicolor (sorghum)
Lineage: Eukaryota; Viridiplantae; Streptophyta; Magnoliopsida; Poales; Poaceae
Exons: 3
Source: RefSeq, a predicted model, not a curated record
CUUCUUCCCAACGCAUGUCCUUCCUAGGACUUCUCGUCUCCUUCCCUCUUCUUAUCUCCAGCACUAUGUCGACCGCCGCAUCCGUCCCUGCCUCCACCCUCACCCUCGCCCUCAGCGAGCACCGUCCUUGUUCCCCAUCGAGUUCGCCGCUGCUGCCAACCGCGACGCCCUCUCUGGUCCUGGGUCGGCAUGAACCCGACCUAGGGUUUCGUCCCUUCAUUGGGUGGCAGCGCCGGCACCGGUGGCCCCUGCCUUCUCCCCCACCCCACACGGCAUGGCCCCGUGGCAUGGCUCCUCGCUCUGGACGACGCGGGUGGCACGGGUUUCGUGCGGUGGCGCGACGUGGGCGGAGACCGCCGUUGGCCAUGGCCGCCUCCCUACGCUUGAGGUCCGACACAUAGCCGGCGCGGCUCUGUUCUCGUGGAUCCAUACACUCGCUGGUUUACUCUUCCUCUCUUUCUCUUGCACCCUCCCUCCCCCUCUCUCUCCUGAUGUGGGAUAUGCAUGGACGCAUGCUCGAUUUUGCUGUAGAUGUGGUGUUCCCAUUCUGUUCUCCCACCAAUCUAAAUAUGGUUAUUUUUAGAUUUUGUUGUUAUCCCCUAGAAUACCUGUGUAACUCCUCCAAAGAACCCUUGGCCAUGUCUCCUCAAAUGUUUUCAACACUUUGAUUUUCUAUCCUCUGGUUCAUAAAUGUUGCAGCUGGUUCAGCAGAUUCUGUCACCAAAUACCUCCCCCUGUGAUUUCAUAUGCUUCUUUGGGUUUACUUUCUGCAUAUGCCUGAUUUUUAUAGCUUUCACAAUUUCACUGUAAGUCCUGAACUCUGAGCACAUGAGCAUGUCACUAAUAUUGGUUUCACACCAUGUGCACUGUAGUAUGAUGUUUUGGGGUUCAUGUUUGCAUUUGAGCCAUGUGCGGUGAUGAGUAUGGUUUACAUCUACAAUUGAGGGAAUGGGCUAUUGCUAUGAUGAUUGCACCAUAUAUUUUGUUCCUUUGUGUUCUAGGUAAUGAUCAUUGUGUACCUUUCCACAGGUUACAUCUCUAUGUUUUUUAUAUGCCUGAGGCAAUGCUCAUGACCUAUGAUCAGUCUUCCUCUUACAUCUUUUUUCUAUGUCGACAACUUAGGCAAUCACCAUGGCCAGUGUUGUGCUAUUUUUGCCAACUCUUCCUACCUGUCCCAUGAUAGCUAAGGCAAUAGUCAAUUGGUUGUCUCUAUUUUCUUCCAAUCAUUCCUUCCUGAUCUAUUUUGUUUAGUUUGAACGCAUCAAUGAUAGAUAAUACUGAUUGUCUAUUUUGUCAUAUACUAUGCGACUAGAAUUUAGUAUUGAUUAUGAGAUUUGAGGUUGUGUUGCCAUUGUGUGUGAUAGUUUCUUCAUUUGCUUAUUUGUUACCUGUGAGCAUUGCCUGUGAUGCUAUAUUGUCGCUUCUGAGCACAUGCCCUAUCCCAAUGAUUACAUUGGCAUACACUUUGGUUGUGUGCAGUCACUUUCGGUUUACCUAUUUCCUUGAUUUUUUGGGUAUGAAUCUUGUGUUUCGUUGUGGUAUACUUGCUUUUAUCUCGAUCCAGUUAAUGUUUCUGUUUGUAUUUUUUAGAAGACUGAAAAAUUUUAUGCCUCAAUUAGUCAAUUAUGGUAUUUUAAGGUUGUUUAGGUGCUUGCUAGCAAAGGGAAACAAAAAUUCAUCUAGCCUUGCCAUUUUCUUAAUUAGUUCCUCCUUUCUUUAAGGCUUCUUUAUUUUAGCGACGGCAACAACAAAUUAACACCUUUGGACUUUGGCAAGCAAAUUGGUCACUGAAGUGCUUCUUCUACUUUUACUGACACAUAAAUAAGUUCCCAGUACAUUUUCCAUCAAGACAAGCUUAGAGUUUUACCAUAUCAAAGUUACUUCAGUAUUGAGUAGAGUUGUCAGACCCAUUUUAUGUACAGAUUCGAAGCAGACAAUACAUUGGGUUAUCAACUCAUAUGUCGCUGAAUCAGGGUAUCUAUAAUAUGAAUCCAAAUUUAUAGGUGUUUAGCUCUACAAUAGCAUGGCCAUAAUUUGAUUUAUACUACCAAACAUUUGUGCCGCGUGUCAGCCGAUUCGUGAGAUUUGAUGCUUUCGAAUUGCCUUUGACAAAUACAGCUAUAUGUUGAAUUAAAAUGAAAUGAAAUUCAUGUUCAUUAGUUCUAUUGUGCAAUAGGCUCUAAUUGUCUAAAGGAAACCUUAGUACUAAGAAACAAUUUAUUUAUUUCUGGCAUGCUAAUUCAUAGCUGUGGUUUUUACCUGGUCAAGAGUUAUGUACUACAUUAUGUUUUAACAGUUCAGAAAAAAGUGUGGUUCUUUUAAUUUUUUUUGAUCUAGCAAAACUAAGUCGGCUAAUCCAAUACCCAUUUGUUUUACUCCACCUCCAUUAUGCAUGCUUUUGACUUACAAUAUAUACCUUCAACUAUUAGAAUGUUUAUUAGUGCUUGAUGUUGGUUUCCUUGCUUGGUCCUUCCAAGAUUUAUAUAACCAUGGAAAGUUCCUUUUCCCUGCUAUUAACCGGCCUCGGCAUCAUCUCUUACAUACUACUACUUUUAUGCUUGCUCCUAUAUAACUUACUGCUUGCAUCUUUACUUACCAGUGAGUUCCUGGUUGCUGUAGCAAUCUGAGUUAAUAUGGUGUAGGGACACAAAUAGACCUGAGCACCAGUGCAGCGCCCAAGCAAUUACUUGGAGUAGCUACGUGGUAAGUGUCUUAUUCGAUUUGAUGCACAUCAAGAUCAGUUUGGUUGAUUCGAUGCUUACCGUAAAAAAAAUCUUUCCAAAAAUAUGCUUCCUGCUUAUUUCUCAUAUUUUUAUAGUCAAUGUUGUCAUAUAUGCUGAUAAGAUUCUUAGGUGCUUAUUUGAUAGCAUCAUAGCAACUCUUUUGGAUUUUUGUACGGUACCCUAUAAUUGUUGUGCUGCAAACUUUCUGUGCCACACUAUACAAAGUGAUUUGUUUUCUGUUUUCCAAGUAACUAAAUAAUUCAAGGUUAAAUACGCAUGCAUAUUCAGACCAGGAAAGAACAUAGCUUGCUGAUCAUUUCAAGUAAUUUUGAUUCUUAAUAUUUUCUCAUCCAAAUACCUCCAGACCUAGCUGAUACAUAUUGAUAUUGUUCCCUGAGUGAGUUCACAUGUAUUAUAUAGAUCAAUUUGCAGUUUAGCACUGUGCCAUUGCACUUGAUAUCAGCUUCAAUGUGUUUCAUGGUCUACAGCUCUACUAUUUGUCAGUAUGCACGAUAAUGGUUCCUCUCUUCUGUGACAUCUUUUUUAAAAAAAAAGUUAGAACAUUUUAAUAGUUUCCUAUUCUUGGAUUUGAUCAUGGUAACUUAUAGUUGAGUUCCUGCACCUAUGUGAUCUAUCUAUGGUCUUGUUGGAUGAAAUAUAAAUAUUAUGUAUUUUAGAACGUUGUGUUGUUUGUUACCAUGAUCUAGGGGACUACAUACGACUCAUCUUUGGUCCCUCAUUUCCUACAGUUUCCAUUACAUGGUUUUUCCCUUAAACCAAACUCAUUUCUUUUUCCCAUUUUUAGAAACCCUUCUAUUUUCAUCUGUUAUUUUUAUGGCCCAAUUGUUCCUUUGUAUUUCAUAAUAUAUAUAGUUGUUGCAGAUUAAAAAGUUCAACUAUGCAAGGAAUAGGGAAUCUGCCUUCCUCGAUGGUAAUCACAAAAUAAAUAGAAAAUCUUUUCCCCAGGUCAUGUACUUUCCAAACCACUUCCUUAGUCUGAAAAGCUUCCAUGACCACCGUUCAAAAUAUUUGUGCACACCAGUCAAUCAAAAGUUAAAUAAUGAAACCACAUAGUGGUUGUUUUUUAGUAUUCUAAUUUGAUUAUUCGUAAGUUAGCUGGACCAACGUAUUAUAUAUUCUAAUAUAUACCAUUGAUAAAUUUGCGAGAAACUAUGUAAUCAGAGGCAAAUUAAUGAGUGUCCUUGUUAUUAUUAUUCUGAUAUACUGAUGUAAUUAUGCAUUUACAGGUGCCCUCUCAAAAAUGUAGGGAUCGCUUCAUGUAUAUAUAUGUAUUAUUUUCUAUUUAUUUAUCAUGCUUCAUCAAUUCCCUGAGGUCAACAUAUUGCAACUUCCUCUUAGGGCUGGCAGUACACUUAGUGCUACUAAUGGUGCCUAACUAAAUGGUGAUAUUUUGUAUGUGUUACCAACUUGAAUUUUUUGUAAAGGGCACUAUUCUCAGUGCAUGUCAUUGUGCCUAACUAAAGGAGAUCAAAUGAUGCCAUUUUGGGUUCAUUUCUCAAGGUACUCUUCUUUGCUACAUUAUUACUGUUUUUUUAUUGUACUGAAUUCUUAUAUAAUUUCAGAAUAUAGCCUGCUGAUUUUCAAAGGCAAAAAUUUAUAGUGUAUACAUUUCUAUGAUUUUCCGAUGAUAUGGCCGGAUGCGAGAAUCAAGAUUUUUUGAGCUUCCUAGCCGAGAACUCCCCUUUCUUCUUUGUCUUUUCUUUCUUUCACUUUCUCUUGAAGGACAACAAGAGGGAGUGCUCCCUCCUCGCCCUGAUGGUGGUUGUCUACCCUUUGUAUUGAGGCCUAGAUUUCAGGCUAGCCAAAGGAAAUUUUGAAGAGAACUAUCAGGUUUUUCUGGCUGUGGAUGUUAUGCUAAGAAGCAAACAUGCUUCUGUUUGUUUGCACUCUUCCCUCAUGAAGAAAUGCAGGUAACUGUUUUUUUCAUGUGUAUGUUUGAUUGCAGGAAAGUGAUAAAGUUUACAUGCUCCUCAAAAUAUUGAAGUCUGUGUGGACGAUACAAACAAAUUAUACUAUUUAAUUUAUUUCAAUGCCUCCUAUUGACUUAUCUUCAGUUUUCUACUUUAUUUAUUGUCCUAUAUACUAAAACAGAAGGGCAUUGUCUCAUGCUUAUUUUUACUUUCCGCAUACUUAUAUGAUUUACGAAUGAUUUUGAUGCCACCUUCCAGGUUCCUAAUUAUAGCUGACCUCUAAUUUGUGCCACUUACAAUACACUCCCGUGGCUUAAAGAAUGAAAGAAGCUGCCCAUCCUUCAUAGGUUUUUGGGUUAAUGAGACAUCCUCCCAUGUGCUCAUGCUUGAUGGAUUCAGGUGCAACCUAUGUGUCGCUAAGAAGAAUGUAAAGGCGACGACGAACAAGGAUGGAAUCAGACUGAAGCAUGAACAUUGGGUGAUAGUGAUGCCUAUAGCAUAGGCAACCAAACUCCUAAACCCACGACUCUCUUCCGUGUAAAAUAUUUCGAACGCACAAUGUAAAAUGUCUGAACACCACAUCUGAUGGAAAUUAGCACCCAACUAUACAAACAUGUUGUGUAAUGUAGCGAUCUAGCACCUUAUGAUGCUUUGAUAUGUUCAACCAGACUCAACGUAUAUCAAACCUAAUGACUACUUGUAGUCUUUUGUAUAUAUAACCAUAUUGUCUACAUUAUUCUUCAAUA